AAAGCACACAACAUUUCCUUGACAUCCUUGGAUUCACCCCACCACUAACUGCCAUACACAGGCCUGCCGCUGCCAGUCCCCCACAGUUCUAUCAUAUGGUUCCCUGACCAGGAACGGCAGACAAGAGACUCCUGGGGCUUUCUCAGUUUGAGUCCCCUGCCAUUCAUGACUAGGACCGGACUGCAUCCUGCAUUAAUUCCUCACUUCUACACUCUGGAGCUGUAAACUUGUCAUUGCCGGUUCACAAACAAUACUGACCCAAUUUACCACAGGUGAGCAACCUCCCAGAGAUUGCCUCUGGGCCAGGCCCCAGGUGGGUUUUCUCCCCC
Molecule: long non-coding RNA, 329 nt
Filed under: Cavia porcellus (domestic guinea pig)
Lineage: Eukaryota; Metazoa; Chordata; Mammalia; Rodentia; Caviidae
Description: lncRNA (ENSCPOG00000040676.1)
Source: RNAcentral